UAACAACAUAGCAUCAGAAAAAUUAUGGAGAGAAGCAGAAGAUGAGUGAGAUGAGUGGCAAAUGUUUGUUUUCUAAGUUUAAUGCUGUGGAUUGUGGCUUUUCUAACUUUUACAACGAUACCAAACAAUUUUAUAAGCUUAAUGAAUGUGAAAAGAACACUGAUGCCCAUCUUAGAUCACUACAUUCAUAUAAUCUGAACUCAGACGUUUCUGAAUCAACACUUAUUUUAUCUCGUGUCGGAGCGGUUUUCAAUUAUAGUUGUACAUAUAACAUAUGCCAAGCCCACAGAGACACUCUAGGUAUCUAUUGGCAAAGAUCAAACAGAAAUGGCUGCAAGCAUCCACUGCAUGGUUCGUCCAAACGAAAGGCUGAUAGAGGAAUUUCACUGAAGCGCUCGGUUGAGAUUUUCCUUUUUUGGGGAGAGCAUGUGCCCAUUGGAUCAGGUAUGUUAUAUUUUUGGUUAGAUAAAAAAUUAAAACAUUUGGGGAUCCACACUUUAUGCAUUGUAGCCUAUAAAGAAAUGGCCAUUCCACUAAAAAUCUAAACGAAACUUGGGGGGGGGGGUUACUUUCUGAGUGAGUGGUAUCAAAAGUCAUAGCAUUGUUUAUAUCUAAGGGUUACCCAAUUUGUUUUCUUGUUAGUCCUUUGUCUAUAUAUUUAUGUAAAAAUGAGGGGUAAGUGUCAUAUUUGGUAUCUGAGGGAUAGAAAUUUUGCAAGAAAAUAUGAGUGGGGUUAAAAAAUGCUUCAUGUAAGCUGUUCAGUUUCAUGUAGGCCACCCAAAUGAUUUCAAUAAAUGGUGGAUCCCUACAGAAGCAGUCUUGACCAUUACCAAACUACCAUGUUUUUGGCAAAGGCCAAUCCACCAUUAAAGCAAAAAAAAAUACAUCAUCAUCAUGUAUCCCAUUUUAAUCUUUAUAAAAUAUUUAAAUCUGACACUCUGUCUACCUAAUAUCAUCUACCUAUUUUUAUGAAGCAGCACACUAAUUUUCAUUUAUGAGAGUAGGAACAGAAUUUGGUGCUUUUAUGGGUCGCUUUUUCAAGAUGUCAAAUAUAUUUGUGGCUUGAAAAUUUCAAACAAAAUAUAUGACUAGACCCAAAUAUUUAGAACAAAAUGUAUGACUGGGCUGUAAUUAUCAGACAAAUGUAUGACUGGGCUUUAAUUUUCAGACAAAUGUAUGACCCGGCUGAAAUUUUGGACUAAAUAUAUGGUUACAUGUAGAUAACAUUUUUUUAUGCAAAAUAUAUAUGAAUAGGUCAUUUUUUUGGUCUUAGGCUACAGACAAUAUAUGAAUGUGUUUAUCAUAUUCCAGAGAGCUGUUCCAGAGGCACACCUGUACCAACUUUUAAACAAAUUUUAAAGUGCCCCACCCCCAAUUCCCAUUGUUGGCAUAAUUUGUUUUCAUUUGGUGAAAUCAGUAAUAAUUCUUUAAAAGUAACAAACAAGAACAAUAGUCAAAAAUGAAUUAUUCAUGCUAACUUACAUGCACAUAUAAAAAGUCAUUCUUUAUAAUUUACAGGUAUAUGCAGAGGCUGCAGAGAAGAACACAGCAAAGAAUUAUUGAAAUUCACAUUUUGUGAUGAAGACAAUGAAGAGUCAAACAUAGAAGAUGGUAUGUAAAAAAAAUCAUUUGACAUUUUGUUCAUCAUGUUCAAUUAAAAAAAAAUCAGUUAUUUUGAUGAGCGAACAAGAAUCAUGUUGUACAUGUAUAUAUAUAGAGUGAUGUUCAGGUUGCAUUUAAAACUUCUUUAUGCAAGUUAUUGACAAUGCACAGCACAAUGUAGGAAUUAAUUUUUAAAAGAUAGCCAUGAUAGUGGCAAACUCUUCAUAUUUUUAAAACAAAUUUAAUUUUUACAACAAAUCACUAAAUGCAAUACAAAAGAAAUUGAGUGCUCUCAACAUGUACUUUAAUGGAGAAGGGUAUAUAUAUAUCCCACUUACAGACGGCCAGCUCUGAAUGCCCCUCCCCCAAAACAAAAAAAGAGCAAUUAAACCUAAGGACACAGCACAUGCCCAGAUUAUGAGAUAUCUUUUUUAGAAUAAUAGGUUUAACAUGUACAAUGCAAGGGCAAACCAAUGAAGUAAAUACUCCUGAUUUAGGAGAGGAGCACAAAUGUGUUUUUUUAAGAUCCCUUCUCUAUACUGCAUUUAAAAAAAUAAACAGUUAAUUCUAAAAAUGCUUUUAUUACUGUGAUUUUGAAAUGCAAUAUGGUUAUCUCCAUAUUAAUGAAACCUUGGACUCACUAAGCAUGUACAUGUACUGUAAAUCGUGUACAUAUGAUGCUUUGAAAUUUUAAUUACUGUCCAAUCAAAAUUUCCAUUAGAAUAUAUGUUUUUACUACUUUUUAGAUGAACCAAAAGAAAAGAAAAUAUGUCUCUCAAGUGAAGUUGUGUGUCGACUUUCUGUGACAGAUGGUAACUGUCUUCAAUAUGGAAUUUGCAC
RNAcentral lists this long non-coding RNA (2442 nucleotides) under Mytilus galloprovincialis (Mediterranean mussel). Lineage: Eukaryota; Metazoa; Mollusca; Bivalvia; Mytilida; Mytilidae. The record is from RNAcentral.